RNAcentral lists this ribosomal RNA (253 nucleotides) under uncultured bacterium. RNAcentral describes it as "partial 16S ribosomal RNA". It matches the Rfam family "Bacterial small subunit ribosomal RNA", at positions 524 to 776 of the family's 1533-position model. The record is from RNAcentral.
UACGUAGGGGGCAAGCGUUAUCCGGAUUUACUGGGUGUAAAGGGAGCGUAGACGGCGAUGCAAGUCUGAAGUGAAAGGCGGGGGCCCAACCCCUGGACUGCUUUGGAAACUGUAUGGCUGGAGUGCAGGAGAGGUAAGUGGAAUUCCUAGUGUAGCGGUGAAAUGCGUAGAUAUUAGGAGGAACACCAGUGGCGAAGGCGGCUUACUGGACUGUAACUGGCGUUGAGGCUCGAAAGCGUGGGGAGCAAACAGG